RNAcentral lists this ribosomal RNA (467 nucleotides) under uncultured bacterium. RNAcentral describes it as "bacterial SSU rRNA". It matches the Rfam family "Bacterial small subunit ribosomal RNA", at positions 355 to 825 of the family's 1533-position model. The record is from RNAcentral.
UAGGGAAUAUUGGACAAUGGGUGAGAGCCUGAUCCAGCCAUGCCGCGUGCAGGAAGAAGGCGUUAUGCGUUGUAAACUGCUUUUUGCCAGGGGAUAAAAAGACCGUGCGCGGUUAAUUGAAGGUACCUGGUGAAUAAGCCACGGCUAACUACGUGCCAGCAGCCGCGGUAAUACGUAGGUGGCAAGCGUUGUCCGGAUUUAUUGGGUUUAAAGGGUGCGUAGGUGGCCCUGUAAGUCAGUGGUGAAAUAUCUCAGCUUAACUGAGAGGGUGCCAUUGAUACUGCAGGGCUUGAGUACAGAUGGGGUAGGCGGAAUUGACGGUGUAGCGGUGAAAUGCAUAGAUAUCGUCAAGAACACCGAUAGCGAAGGCAGCUUACCAAGCUGUAACUGACACUGAGGCACGAAAGUGUGGGGAUCAAACAGGAUUAGAUACCCGCGUAGUCCCUGAGCGGGCUGGCAAGGCGCAU